GGGUGUGUAGCUCAGUGGUAGACAGUGUACUUAGCAUGCACGAGACCCUGGGUUCAAUCCCCAGUACCUCCA
This 72-nucleotide transfer RNA is filed under the name Camelus bactrianus (Bactrian camel). It matches the Rfam family "tRNA". Rfam says of the family: Transfer RNA (tRNA) molecules are approximately 80 nucleotides in length. Their secondary structure includes four short double-helical elements and three loops (D, anti-codon, and T loops). The record is from Rfam by way of RNAcentral. Lineage: Eukaryota; Metazoa; Chordata; Mammalia; Artiodactyla; Camelidae. RNAcentral also lists the same sequence under 2 other names.